GAUGAACGCUAGCUACAGGCUUAACACAUGCAAGUCGAGGGGAAACGAUAUUGGAAGCUUGCUUCCGAUAGGCGUCGACCGGCGCACGGGUGAGUAACGCGUAUCCAACCUGCCCACCACUUGGGGAUGACCUUGCGAAAGUAAGACUAAUACCCAAUGAUAUCUCUAGAAGACAUCUGAAGGAGAUUAAAGAUUCAUCGGUGAUGGAUGGGGAUGCGUCUUAUUAGCUUGUUGGCGGGGUAACGGCCCACCAAGGCGACGAUCAGUAGGGGUUCGGAGAGGAAGGUCCCCCACAUUGGAACUGAGACACGGUCCAAACUCCUACGGGAGGCAGCAGUGAGGAAUAUUGGUCAAUGGGCGAGAGCCUGAACCAGCCAAGUAGCGUGCAGGAUGACGGCCCUAUGGGUUGUAAACUGCUUCUAUAAGGGAAUAAAGCGAGCCUCGUGAGACUUUUUGCAUGUACCUUAUGAAUAAGGACCGGCUAAUUCCGUGCCAGCAGCCGCCGUAA
RNAcentral lists this ribosomal RNA (508 nucleotides) under uncultured bacterium. RNAcentral describes it as "partial 16S ribosomal RNA". It matches the Rfam family "Bacterial small subunit ribosomal RNA", at positions 28 to 523 of the family's 1533-position model. The record is from RNAcentral.